Molecule: RNA transcript, 5681 nt
Organism: Balaenoptera acutorostrata (minke whale)
Lineage: Eukaryota; Metazoa; Chordata; Mammalia; Artiodactyla; Balaenopteridae
Gene: TERB1
Gene name: telomere repeat binding bouquet formation protein 1
Exons: 18
Source: RefSeq, a predicted model, not a curated record
UAGGCGGGCGGCAAGGGAAAAAGGGCGAAUCCCAGGGCGCUGCGACUUAAGGGUAAAGGCCACGGCCUCCAUUCCCUGCGCGUUCGGGUCCUGCCUCAGCCCCGCCUCGGAACCCGCCCGUCGCCUCCUGUGGAAGGUCUGGGAUGCAGAACGCCCCGCUCUAACCUUCUUAACCGACCCACAUGAGGGGAUGGGGUGAUGAGGCGGGAUGGGGCCUGAGGAGGCGGUCGCCCCGGGCUGAGGCCCGCACAGGGAAAAAGAGAAUUGUCACGUACCACUUAGGCGGCUAGAGCCUGGCCGAUUGUACUUCAGAAUACUCGGGCACCUCCCCAGGUGAUUCUGAUGUAUGAAGGGGGUGGGCGCUGCUGGGGCAGUUGUUUCUCAGAUCGGGGGUGGGACUCUGUGUUCCGCAUCACCUGAAGGGGAGGGCACGUUAACGGGACUGACUUUCAGACCCACCCGCUGCCUUGCCGGUGAAUCGCCUGUGGUGGAGCCGGCCUCGGGUCGCUAACCAGCGGCCCCGUCCCUGCAGGAGUUGGAGAACCCUGGUCUAAGAGGGAAGGGCCCGAGGGACCACAUAUGCUCUUCAAAAGGAGUUCCUCCAGCUGUUUAGAUGAAAUAUAAGGUAAAAGAAUGCAGACAAGCAUGGAAAGUGAGGACACAAAGAAAAUACAAGAAAUGAAGACUGACCUGAACUUAUUAUUGGAGUGUCUGAAGUAUCAAAUGGACAAUGCUUUUUCGCAAAAGGAAGCUCUUGUCACUAUUCAUUCAAUUUGCCAACAAAACAGUAAUGCAAGUCUUUAUUUUCGGGAAAUUGGUGGUUUGAUGUUUGUAAAAAAUCUUGCAAAGUCAAGUGAACAUAGUAUGGUAAAAGAAGCAGCAUUAUAUACAUUAGGAGCUGUUGCAGAACAAAAUGUUUACUGUCAGCAGACUUUGUGCACUUCAGAAUUGUUUGAAGACUUAACUUGGUUCUUAUCCAACAAUGAUUCAAACACAAAUUUGAAAAGAAUGUCUGUCUAUGUUAUUUUGGUUCUAGUUUCAAAUAAUAGGACUGGACAGACGCUUGUGAGAGAAACAGGUUGUAUUUCAGUUCUAUCACAGUUGUUCAAGACAGUUCUUUCAAAAUAUGAGUUGAAUUUGUCAGAUGAAAAUGUUUUCCAGAGUUAUCAGUUGUGGUCUUCAGUGUGUAGUACUCUGUGUGUCUGUGUCAACAAUCCUCAAAAUGAUGAAAAUCAAAUGCUUUGCUCUUCACUUUUUCCACAUGCUAAUGACUGGCUAAUAAAUUGCAUGAAACCUGAGAUAAUUCGCCCUAUUUGCUCAUUUAUUGGACUCACUCUUGCAAAUAACACAUACGUGCAGAAAUACUUUAUAUCUGUGGGUGGACUGGAUGUAUUAUCUCAAGUUCUUGUGCAGUUGGAAUCUGAUUCACACAAGACUCUUUCCAGUGCUAAGCUUGCAGUGGUGGUGACAAAGACAGUGGAUGCAUGUAUUGCUGAUAAUCCUACUUUUGGGGUAGUACUAUCCAAGUACCACAUUGUUUCAAAACUUCUGGCAUUACUGCUUCAUGAAAGUCUGGAUUCAGGAGAAAAAUUUAGUAUCGUACUUACUGUUGGUCAUUGUACAGAGGAUUGUGAGGAAAAUCAGUAUGACCUUUUUAAAAGCAAUGGGCUUCCACUCAUGAUACAAGUCUUAACUGAAUCUCAGAACGAGGAACUAAACAAAGCUGCCACUUUUGUGCUUCACAACUGCAAAAAAAUUACUGAGAAAUUAUCUCUAAGUCUAGGAGAAUAUUCUUUUGAUGAAAAUGAAGAACAAUUAAAGGAUGUAAAUAUGAAAGAGAAGAAUCUUGAAGAUUACUGGAAGAAAGCGAAGGAAAUUCUACACAGAAUAGAACAGCUUGAAAGAGAAGGAAAUGAGGAAACAGUACAAAGAGAAAAAUAUAAGGAUUAUGUUUCAUCUAUGAACAUAAAUAUUCAAAAUACAUUGAAACACCUCCACGCAGAUAGCAGUGGUGGAGGUCCCAAAGCAGAAGAUAAGGAUAAAAGCCAGUCUAGAAAGCUUCAGAGUUAUAAGUCCCAUGAAGUCAUGUCUAAAGCAUGUACAAAUGAUGAUCAAAUGAAGACCCUGUUAAAGAGUGCAAAUCCAGUUAAUGCUUGUUAUAGGGAGAGUGGGCAAAAUAAGACUUUAUGUAAAGCCAAUUCAAGCUGCAAUCAAAAGUUACGUGAAGAAACAACCUUUGAAAAAAAGAAUUUUGUUUCUCAAUCAAGCGACCAUAUUUUUAAACAUCCAACUCCUAUUGCCAAAAACACAAAGCAGCAGUUACCAGUAACAGAUCCAUUUACAUUAUGUUCAGAUAUAAUAAAUAAAGAAGUCAUUGGUUUUCUAGCAACAGACAAUUGUUCCAAAAUGUUGAAGUAUAGAUGUUCAGGUUGCAUAGCAGUAGGAAAAUCCCUGAAUAGCCGAAAUUUUAGCAAGCUCUUACACUCUUGCCCAUACCAAUGUGAUCGUCACAAAGUCAUUGUGGAAGCUGAAGACAGAUAUAAAAGUGGACUAAGGAAAUCACUUAUCUGUAACAAGAAAAUUCUGCUGACCCCACGUAGAAGACGACAACUCAAUAAUGAAUCUACUACCCCUGGAGGAAUAAGUGAAUAUAUUUAAUUUUUAAAUAAAUAUAAAUUUCGUAUAUUCCUGAAAAAGAACAGCUGAAUGAUUGUUCUCAGUCACAUCAUUAAUGGCUUUUAAAUGAUAACCCUUUCUUCUUAUGAGGGUCAUACUUCCUGACAAAAGAGGCUUCCCUCUUCCCUUUUUCAUGUUGCUUGCUCAUCUGUUACUUUCCAGCUGGGGAAGGGGCAGGAGAAAACUAACAUUUAUUAAGAACCUCCUAUGUAUUAGGUGUUUCAUACAUGUUAUUUGCUUUAUUUCGUAUAAUAACAUUGUAAGAUAAGCUAUUAUUUUAUUCCCACUUUAAUUUGUUUUCUUUUAGGUUGCGUAGCAGUAGGAAAAUAGCCAGAAUUUGCCAAUGAGUUGGCAAAUGGCAGAACUUAGAUUCAAAUGCAAGCCUGUCUUUCUCCAGAAUCCCCUUUUCUAUCCUCUGGAUCACUUUUCUAUUUUAAGAGCAAAGUUAUUCUCCUAUGCACAAGUGCUUCAGAAAAAUUUUGCGGAAGAUUUUGGUUCACAUCUGCAGCACUUUGAACAAUCAAAAUUGAAGAGACAAAUAGUAUAAACCUUAGAGCCCUGUUUAAAAAUUAAAAUACUUCUAAACUAUGAGUUAAUUUACAGGAGCUUUUCUUUAACUACAGGGUUAAUCACCAUUUCAGGUUUAUCACUAUUUCAAAUUUAUCACAAGACUUAAAGAACAUUACCAUUAUCUUCUGUUCAUAUGGAAUUAGUAUGUGCAGAGUAAGACUAAGCCGUUGAGUACACUACUUUUCAAAGUCACCUAGAAAUUAGUAAUAUCUGUAGAGCCAUUCUAUUAUUUAUUGUGAAGACAUUUGGACUUGAUCCAUCCAGGAAACAUUUUGCCACAUACUUUUGUUUGGCCAUUUUCACUGCCAAAACCUUGAAAGAAAUUUCAAAUUUACUUUUUCUAACUGGGUCUUUUUCUAGGUUAAAAUUUCUGCAUACAAAUUAAAAUUAAGCGCAGUACCACUACAGGGUAGCCCACUUUUUGAAGUAAUAUUUUCUGUAGAAACUGUUAGAAAAUGGGUAUUUUUCCAUAGAAACGUUACAGUUGGAAAUCUUUUUGAAAAGGAGUUGGCAUCAAAUUAAUAAUAGAAUUUCUUGAGCAGCAUGUCUUAAAAGCAAAUAUAUAACAACUAAAAGUAUUCUAUAAUCAUUUUUUCAUAGUAAAAUCAUUUGCAGAGCAUCAUGAAAUAUACAUAAUUAUGGUUAUAUAUUGAUUAUACAGAAGGAUCCUAACUACUGUUAAGUCACUUUCAGCUCGUAAAUACCUACAUCUUUUUUGUAGAUUCCAGCUGCUUAGCUAAAAUCCAAUAGUUAAUAAGUUGGCCUGCUUUUUUCAAAUUUAGAAAGGCAUCUUGAGGAGGUAGUGAUUAGAUUGGUCUUAUAUCUCUUUUACAAGCAGGCCAGGAAUAUUUGAUGUACUGCCAUUUUUCCCCCUCUUAAUAAAUUUCACUUUCAUACUAGAGACAUUCAUCACCUUUCAUUUGGUUAUAGGUUACACUCAAAUUUGAGACUCUUCUUUUGAGAAGGGACCAUUUGCAGCAUCUAAGUAUUUAAAGAGCCUUGGGGGCAAGGCUCUCUUUUAGGAUGGAUUGAUAAUCUUGAGAGGGUUUGAAAAAUAAGAGUUUCUAGGAGGGCUUCCCUGGUGGCGCAGUGGUUGAGAAUCUGCCUGCCAGUGCAGGGAACACGGGUUCGAGCCCUGGUCUGGAAAGAUCCCACAUGCCGCGGAGCUACUAGGCCCGUGAGCCACAAUUGCUGAGCCUGCACGUCUGGAGCCUGUGCUCCGCAACGAGAGAGACCGCGAUAGUGAGAGGCCCACGCACCACGAUGAAGAGUGGCCCCCACUUGCCGCAACUAGAGAAAGCCCUCGCACAGAAACGAAGACCCAACACAGCCAUAAAUAAAUUAAUUAAUUAAUUUAAAAAAAUUUUUUUUUAAAUGGUAAGUUUAAAAAAAAAAAAAAAAAGAGUCUCUAGGACUGAGCCCUCUUGCCUAUUUUUCCCUGCUUUUUUCUAAUGACCAAUCAGUAUUAGGAGGAGCACUGAAGAAGUCACAGAAGGGAGUCUUGUGGUGUAGAGAGCUGUUUCCUUCUUCUAGGCUGCCAACUAUGCUGCUGUGGUAACCUUUGAGGUAUUUGGCACAGAUGCUAAUUUAAGCGUAGAAGUCAGUGAGACGGCAACUGCAGGGGAAAAGUGGGGAUUGGCUCUACAUGAACAACCUCAGGACCCAAUAUCUUGAAUGUUAUAAUAACCCAUCUGGUCCUGAUUAUAAUGAGUUCAGAUCAUUUAGCAAGUGAAGUUGAAAUCAUCUAUUUCUCGGAUAACCACAGUUUUCCAGUAGACCCAAGUAAGAAGUAACUUCAUUGAUAAGUUUUAAAACAGUUUUUACCGGUAGUAACAUUUUUAUGUCAACAAAUAUUUAUUGAUCACCUACUAUGUGUCAGACACUGUCUUAGGCACUGGGGACACAUGGUGAGUAAAACAGACAAAAAUCCCAGUCUUCAUGGAGCCUGCAUUCUAAGGAAUACCAUUAAGUAAUAUUUAGACAUUAUUUUCAUUGAUUUCUUGGCCUUCUGCUGGUAAGAUUUUUCCCUCCUGCUUUAAAAGAUCUGAACUAUGGCUUCUAUCUCAGGAUAGAUGGACUAACAGUCAUGACAUGCAAAGGCAAGAUUUUCGAAGGUUGUCCCAGCAUCGCUAUUCAAGGUCCUACUAAAGUAAAUAGCAGCCUUAAUUGGAAAUACAAAAACUCUUCCUCAUCAGCAUCUACCCACAAUGAUAACGUGCAUUAACAGUGAAUUAAAAAUCUUAAGGGACUUCCCCGGUGGUCCAGUGGUUAAGAAUCCGCCUUCCAACACAGGGGAUGCGGAUUCUAUUCUAUGAAGUUAUGGAGCCCUUUGGGAAGACUGUAUCUGUAAGAUAGAAAAAAGAAGAAUUCGUAAAAACUUUACUGAAGAAGAAGUAAAUUACCUUUUCAAUGGAGUUAAGAAAAUGGGAAAUCAC